ACGGUGGCCGCAGAGCAAUAUUGC
This 24-nucleotide non-coding RNA is filed under the name Arabidopsis thaliana (thale cress). Lineage: Eukaryota; Viridiplantae; Streptophyta; Magnoliopsida; Brassicales; Brassicaceae. The record is from RNAcentral.